This 459-nucleotide ribosomal RNA is filed under the name Triticum aestivum (bread wheat). RNAcentral describes it as "partial small subunit ribosomal RNA". The record is from RNAcentral. Lineage: Eukaryota; Viridiplantae; Streptophyta; Magnoliopsida; Poales; Poaceae.
AUGCAGAAAUCCGUGGCCAAUCGCCCAUGCCCCAAGUUGGCAUUCAAGUUCUUCGGGGCCUUCCCGGUCCUCGCCAAGAUUGGCCCUGCCGCCUACAAGUUGGAUCUACCAGCUGACAGCCGCAUCCACUCGGUCUUUCAUGUGUCACAGCUGAAGCCGUUUACACCCAAUUACACUCCAGUCUUCUCUGAAUUACCUGCUAUCACCGAUCUGACGACAGUCGACACUAUGCCAGUGAAGAUUCUGAACAGAAAGAUGUCGAAGCGCGGCGAUGCACCAGUGAUUCAGAUACAAGUGGCUUGGGACACAACACCACCAGCAACUACAUGGGAAGAUUAUGAGGUGCUCCGGCAGCGCUAUCCACAGGCAGCAAUCUGGGAAGAUGACGCCGCAGAAGAAGAGGCUCGGUCUCAAGAAGGGGAGAAUGUCACAACGGCGAGGUGUGCCACCGCCGUGUGA